This 405-nucleotide ribosomal RNA is filed under the name uncultured bacterium. Its description in RNAcentral is "partial 16S ribosomal RNA". It matches the Rfam family "Bacterial small subunit ribosomal RNA", at positions 30 to 526 of the family's 1533-position model. The record is from RNAcentral.
AUUGAACGCUGGCGGCAGGCUUAACACAUGCAAGUCGAGCGAGCGGCGGACGGGUGAGUAAUGUCUGGGAAACUGCCUGAUGGAGGGGGAUAACUACUGGAAACGGUAGCUAAUACCGCAUACCAUCAGAUGUGCCCAGAUGGGAUUAGCUUGUUGGUGGGGUAACGGCUCACCAAGGCGACGAUCCCUAGCUGGUCUGAGAGGCUGACGAGCCAACCGGGAACUGAGCCACGGUCCAUACUCCUAGGGUAGGCAGCGUUGGGUAAUAUUGCACAAGGGGCGCAAGCCUGAUGCAGCCAUGCGGCGGGUAUGAAGAAGGCCUUGGGGUUGUAAAGUACUUUCAGCGGGGAGGCGUUACCCGCAGAAGAAGCACCGGCUAACUCCGUGCCAGCAGCGCGGUAAUAC